RNAcentral lists this ribosomal RNA (444 nucleotides) under uncultured bacterium. RNAcentral's name for it is "bacterial SSU rRNA". It matches the Rfam family "Bacterial small subunit ribosomal RNA", at positions 958 to 1398 of the family's 1533-position model. The record is from RNAcentral.
AACGCGAAGAACCUUACCAGUCCUUGACAUGUCCAUUAUGGGCCUGAGAGAUCAGGUCCUUCACUUCGGGUGGGUGGAACACAGGUGCUGCAUGGCUGUCGUCAGCUCGUGUCGUGAGAUGUUGGGUUAAGUCCCGCAACGAGCGCAACCCUCAUCUUCAGUUGCCAUCGGGUAAAGCUGGGCACUCUGAAGAAACCGCCGGUGACAAGCCGGAGGAAGGCGGGGAUGACGUCAAGUCCUCAUGGCCCUUAUGGGCUGGGCUACACACGUGCUACAAUGGCGGUGACAAUGGGAUGCGAUGGAGCGAUCCGGAGCCAAUCUCAAAAAGCCGUCUCAGUUCAGAUUGCACUCUGCAACUCGAGUGCAUGAAGGUGGAAUCGCUAGUAAUCGUGGAUCAGCAUGCCACGGUGAAUACGUUCCCGGGCCUUGUACACACCGCGCAUA